RNAcentral lists this ribosomal RNA (1215 nucleotides) under metagenome. RNAcentral describes it as "bacterial SSU rRNA". It matches the Rfam family "Bacterial small subunit ribosomal RNA", at positions 286 to 1520 of the family's 1533-position model. The record is from RNAcentral.
GCCGGACUGAGAGGUUGACCGGCCACGUUGGGACUGCGAUACGGCCCAGACUCCUACGGGAGGCAGCAGUGGGGAAUAUUGGGCAAUGGGCGCAAGCCUGACCCAGCAACGCCGCGUGAAGGAAGAAGGCUUUCGGGUUGUAAACUUCUUUUAAGUGGGAAGAGUAGAAGACGGUACCACUUGAAUAAGCCACGGCUAACUACGUGCCAGCAGCCGCGGUAAUACGUAGGUGGCAAGCGUUGUCCGGAUUUACUGGGUGUAAAGGGCGUGCAGCCGGGCAUGCAAGUCAGAUGUGAAAUCUCAGGGCUUAACCCUGAAACUGCAUUUGAAACUGUAUGUCUUGAGUGCCGGAGAGGUAAUCGGAAUUCCUUGUGUAGCGGUGAAAUGCGUAGAUAUAAGGAAGAACACCAGUGGCGAAGGCGGAUUACUGGACGGUAACUGACGGUGAGGCGCGAAAGCGUGGGGAGCGAACAGGAUUAGAUACCCUGGUAGUCCACGCUGUAAACGAUGGAUACUAGGUGUGCGGGGACUGACCCCCUGCGUGCCGCAGUUAACACAAUAAGUAUCCCACCUGGGGAGUACGAUCGCAAGGUUGAAACUCAAAGGAAUUGACGGGGGCCCGCACAAGCGGUGGAUUAUGUGGUUUAAUUCGAAGCAACGCGAAGAACCUUACCAGGUCUUGACAUCCUGCUAACGAAGUAGAGAUACAUUAGGUGCCCUUCGGGGAAAGCAGAGACAGGUGGUGCAUGGUUGUCGUCAGCUCGUGUCGUGAGAUGUUGGGUUAAGUCCCGCAACGAGCGCAACCCCUAUUGUUAGUUGCUACGCAAGAGCACUCUAGCGAGACUGCCGUUGACAAAACGGAGGAAGGUGGGGACGACGUCAAAUCAUCAUGCCCCUUAUGACCUGGGCUACACACGUAAUACAAUGGCGGUCAACAAAGGGAUGCAAAGCCGCGAGGCAGAGCGAACCCCAAAAAGCCGUCCCAGUUCGGAUCGCAGGCUGCAACCCGCCUGCGUGAAGUCGGAAUCGCUAGUAAUCGUGGGUCAGCAUACCACGGUGAAUACGUUCCCGGGCCUUGUACACACCGCCCGUCACUCCAUGAGAGUCGGGAACACCCGAAGUCCGUAGCCUAACCGCAAGGAGGGCGCGGCCGAAGGUGGGUUCGAUAAUUGGGGUGAAGUCGUAACAAGGUAGCCGUUCGAGAACGAGCGGCUG